UACGGAGGGUGCAAGCGUUAUCCGGAUUCACUGGGUUUAAAGGGUGCGUAGGCGGGUUGGUAAGUCCGUGGUGAAAUCCCCAAGCUUAACUUGGGAACUGCCGUGGAUACUAUCAAUCUUGAAUAUCGUGGAGGUAAGCGGAAUAUGUCAUGUAGCGGUGAAAUGCUUAGAUAUGACACAGAACACCGAUUGCGAAGGCAGCUCACUAAACUGUAACUGACGCUGAGGCACGAAAGCGUGGGGAGCAAACAGG
This 253-nucleotide ribosomal RNA is filed under the name uncultured bacterium. RNAcentral describes it as "partial 16S ribosomal RNA". It matches the Rfam family "Bacterial small subunit ribosomal RNA", at positions 524 to 776 of the family's 1533-position model. The record is from RNAcentral.